RNAcentral lists this transfer RNA (69 nucleotides) under Dyscophus insularis (Antsouhy tomato frog). Its description in RNAcentral is "tRNA-Gln". It matches the Rfam family "tRNA". Rfam says of the family: Transfer RNA (tRNA) molecules are approximately 80 nucleotides in length. Lineage: Eukaryota; Metazoa; Chordata; Amphibia; Anura; Microhylidae. The record is from RNAcentral.
UAAGGGGAAGUACAAGGGGUACGAAGAAUUUUGAUUUCUUAUGUGUAGGUUCGAUUCCUACCUUCUUAA